AACAGGAUUAGAUACCCUGGUAGUCCACGCCGUAAACGAUGUCGACUUGGAGGUUGUUCCCUUGAGGAGUGGCUUCCGGAGCUAACGCGUUAAGUCGACCGCCUGGGGAGUACGGCCGCAAGGUUAAAACUCAAAUGAAUUGACGGGGGCCCGCACAAGCGGUGGAGCAUGUGGUUUAAUUCGAUGCAACGCGAAGAACCUUACCUACUCUUGACAUCCAGAGAACUUAGCAGAGAUGCUUUGGUGCCUUCGGGAACUCUGAGACAGGUGCUGCAUGGCUGUCGUCAGCUCGUGUUGUGAAAUGUUGGGUUAAGUCCCGCAACGAGCGCAACCCUUAUCCUUUGUUGCCAGCGGUUCGGCCGGGAACUCAAAGGAGACUGCCAGUGAUAAACUGGAGGAAGGUGGGGAUGACGUCAAGUCAUCAUGGCCCUUACGAGUAGGGCUACACACGUGCUACAAUGGCGCAUACAAAGAGAAGCGACCUCGCGAGAGCAAGCGGACCUCAUAAAGUGCGUCGUAGUCCGGAUCGGAGUCUGCAACUCGACUCCGUGAAGUCGGAAUCGCUAGUAAUCGUAGAUCAGAAUGCUACGGUGAAUACGUUCCCGGGCCUUGUACACACCGCCCGUCACACCAUGGGAGUGGGUUGCAAAAGAAGUAGAUAGCUUAACCUUCGGGAGGGCGUUUACCACUUUGUGAUUCAUGACUGGGGUGAAGUCGUAACAAGGUAACC
This 730-nucleotide ribosomal RNA is filed under the name uncultured bacterium. RNAcentral describes it as "bacterial SSU rRNA". It matches the Rfam family "Bacterial small subunit ribosomal RNA", at positions 771 to 1501 of the family's 1533-position model. The record is from RNAcentral.